GUACACUCCUACGGGAGGCAGCAGUGGGGAAUUUUGGACAAUGGGCGAAAGCCUGAUCCAGCAAUGCCGCGUGUGUGAAGAAGGCCUUCGGGUUGUAAAGCACUUUUGUCCGGAAAGAAAUCCUUGGCUCUAAUACAGUCGGGGGAUGACGGUACCAGAAGAAUAAGCACCGGCUAACUACGUGCCAGCAGCCGCGGUAAUACGUAGGGUGCGAGCGUUAAUCGGAAUUACUGGGCGUAAAGCGUGCGCAGGCGGUUUGCUAAGACCGAUGUGAAAUCCCCGGGCUCAACCUGGGAACUGCAUUGGUGACUGGCAGGCUAGAGUAUGGCAGAGGGGGGUAGAAUUCCACGUGUAGCAGUGAAAUGCGUAGAGAUGUGGAGGAAUACCGAUGGCGAAGGCAGCCCCCUGGGCCAAUACUGACGCUCAUGCACGAAAGCGUGGGGAGCAAACAGGAUUAGAUACCCCUGUAGUCCCAU
This 476-nucleotide ribosomal RNA is filed under the name uncultured organism. RNAcentral describes it as "partial 16S ribosomal RNA". It matches the Rfam family "Bacterial small subunit ribosomal RNA", at positions 331 to 798 of the family's 1533-position model. The record is from RNAcentral.